This is a long non-coding RNA of Daphnia pulicaria, 227 nucleotides long. RefSeq lists it as uncharacterized. The transcript is spliced from 3 exons. The record is from RefSeq and is a predicted model, not a curated record. NCBI's taxonomy places the organism in Eukaryota, Metazoa, Arthropoda, Branchiopoda, Diplostraca, Daphniidae.
UGAAUUUUAUCCACAUAAUAUGUUUAUCUGUGAAUCAAUUGAUUAAACCGGGUUAUAUUGACAUCCCACUGCAUACUAAAAGACCCCAUUUCUAUUGCAGAUAUAUAGACUAUAACCCCAAAAUAUUUUAAAAAUGAAUUUCCCCUUUGAUUUUGUGUUUGUAAUGUUGUUAUGGAUGAUAAACAUGACCACCUUCUAAAUCAAUCACUAAAAUACACUUGAUUAAA